Molecule: ribosomal RNA, 253 nt
Filed under: uncultured bacterium
Lineage: Bacteria
Description: partial 16S ribosomal RNA
Rfam family: Bacterial small subunit ribosomal RNA
Source: RNAcentral
UACGUAGGGUGCAAGCGUUAUCCGGAAUUAUUGGGCGUAAAGAGCUCGUAGGCGGUCUGUCGCGUCUGCUGUGAAAACUCAGGGCUUAACCCUGAGCUUGCAGUGGGUACGGGCAGACUAGAGUGCGGUAGGGGAGACUGGAAUUCCUGGUGUAGCGGUGAAAUGCGCAGAUAUCAGGAGGAACACCGGUGGCGAAGGCGGCUCUCUGGGCCUUACCUGACGCUGAGGAGCGAAAGCGUGGGUAGCGAACAGG